This is a long non-coding RNA of Mauremys reevesii (Reeves's turtle), 552 nucleotides long. RefSeq lists it as uncharacterized. NCBI's taxonomy places the organism in Eukaryota, Metazoa, Chordata, Testudines, Geoemydidae. The record is from RefSeq and is a predicted model, not a curated record. The transcript has 3 exons.
GCCCCGCUGUUCAAUAUGUAAAGUCAGUAGCAUUGUUCUAUACUUUCUGCUCGGAGUUUGAGAGCCAGUCACUUCUCAAGCGCCUGCUCGGCCGUGACAACUCUCAAAUGGUGAAAUGAUGCAAGGCUGCCUCUGAGCUAAGCCUGCUCGCCCUGCUCCUGCAUGCAGUGCCUAUGCAGGUGGUCACUCCAGAACUGGACUCUGGUGAGGCAGAAUGGGGAGAUUGCACUGUGUCUUCCUAGACUCUACCUGCUUUUUGGGGAAGGAAGAAACUUUAUUCUCCACAGUUCUCAGUCCAGCCCUGAAUUCACUAUUAAUAGCCCCUGUUGCAUUCUGCUCUUGGCCUCGGAAGGAAGGGGAUGAGAGUUUACGACAACAGCCAAGUGCAGAGCUGGCUGCAGCCAUGCAUUUGCUGAGCAUGGAGAGAAGAAAGACAGGACCAGGUUGUGACAGCUGCCGCAAGAGGCUGUUGAAUCCAAGACUUUAGUAAGGUCCAAGGAGGGAUUGGACGUUGCUAUGGAUAACAAGGCCACCCAGAGUUAUAAUAGUUAA